CCUUGCUCCCCGAAGGAGACAGUCGAACUUCUUCUCCAAGUCCACAAAACACCUGUAGACCAGUUGGGUGAACUCCCAUGCACCCUACAGGACCCUGCUCAGGGUACAGAGCUGGUCCACUGUUAGAUGACCAGGGCAAAAACCACACUGCUCUUCUUGAAUCUGACUUUUGACUAUCCAAUGGUCCGUCCUCUCCAUGAACCCCAAAUAGACCUUAUGAGGGAGGCAUCACACCCGCCAGACCUCCUUUUUGAACAAAUGCCGGGAACACUGAAUCAAACAGUCUCACUUAUCAUAAGGGUUCUACGUUAUGGGUCUUUCAUAUUACAUUUGGAUGAAAUAUAUUUGUGGUUGCAAUGUAACAAUAUGGAACAGUUCAAGGGGUAUGAUUACUUUGUAAGCACUGUACAUCUUAACCCUGAAAUCAUGACAUGAAAAUCUUUUUGGAGAAAAUGUUAGAAUCUCUCGUCAUUUUUAAUGUCACUUUAUGUGACUGUUUGCUUUCGUAAAUAUGAUAGCGUGGAUCGUUUUUCUUGAUCAUUGUUGCAGUGGAUUUUAUAUGUAUUUAUUGUACACAUUUGUGAAUUAUGGUGUAUGCUUGUGGAUUUUGUUGUAGACAUAAGAGAUUUUUGUACACUUUGUGAAUCUUUUCAACACUUAUUUACUUCCGUAGAAAAGAGGCUUCAUAAACUGGUUUUGUACUUGCACAUGAAAGUUUGUUUGAGUUUUGUGAAUACGAAAGUGGCUGAUCUUGAAACACUUAUCGGUUCACUGUCAGAGUAGUUGCUGGAAAUGUUGCACCAGGGAGCAGUAGAUAAGACAAUCAGUUACUAUAUGUAUAUUCUGUUCUAUUUGAAAUUAAAAAGAUUUGAAAUAGGGACCAUAAAGUUUUCCUAAUUUUUCUAAUACAGUUAGCAUAAAUUUUUCCCUUCAAAUAAGCCUAAAUUUUUUGCGGAACUACGUUUUUAUUCUUCACCGUUUGCGUCACUUAAUUAAAGCUCUCCUUGUUUCAAUCUCUCCUCAGUCACACUGAACUUUUUAAUGCUGCAGCCCCCUAGUGGCUACCUCAUCAUCACUUAACAAGCAGGACAAAAUUUCGGCUCACUUUUGUCCUGUUGGACUCCCUCCACCUGGUGAGAAUUUGUUUGGUUUUGGUGGAAUUAACCCUUUGUUCUCCCAGUUUUAGUCUGUUUUUGCAGGGUUUUCCACGCAAACGAUCCUUGGAGGCUGCCAAGAAGACAGAGAGGAAACAAGACCUUGAGUCCAGGAAAUCCUCACCUACCUCAUGGACUUGGGCCUCAUACAAUCUGAGGAGAUGGAGUUCUUGUUUCUUUGAAUGUUCCAGGUGGUGCAAUCUGACCAGGUAAGUACAUAACAAAUGAAGGCUAAUUUAUUUGCCAAUUUUGUUUAUUUUAACUUGAGAUUGAUGACGUUGUAUAUCUAAGUUUGAUAGGAGGAAUCCAGUGGAUGUAUGCCCUUUUUUCUUGGGUCAUAUUGGUAUUUAUGUCUGUUAAUCAUUCUGAAAUGUUUAAAAAUGUCAUGAAUACUAAUUUGUUUUUUGUCUGUUUUUUUUUUACUACAGAGUCUGUGAUGUCACAUAGAUUGGAUGCCAAAUGAAAGCUUUGGAGCAGCGUUUUUUUUUUUUUUUUUUUUUUUUUUUCUACAGUUGUAAAUAGUUUUUCAUGUAUGUACAUAUUUAAAAUAGUUUCGUGUAAGAAUAUAGUUUAAUAUAUGUUUCAUGUAUGUAUAUAUGUAUAAUAGUUUGAUAUUUAUGACAAGUUGAUCAUCGUGGCAAAGCCAUGUUUCACUUGUGAGAUUAAAUCUGUCAGGCCUUACCUUGACACUCAGGCAACAACCCUGAGUGCCACACGGCCGGACAGGACACAUGUAAAAAAAAAAAAAAAUCGUUUUUAUUGCAGAGGCAUCAUGUUCUGAAAUUUAUUGUAAUCUUUAAAUGUUGUAAUUUUGGUUCAUUAUAAUCUUUACCUGUAAAAAGUUUGUAGAAAUCUUUAAUAUGACUUCAAUAUAUAUUUUUAAACUGUGA
Molecule: long non-coding RNA, 2044 nt
Organism: Poeciliopsis prolifica (blackstripe livebearer)
Lineage: Eukaryota; Metazoa; Chordata; Actinopteri; Cyprinodontiformes; Poeciliidae
Exons: 2
Source: RefSeq, a predicted model, not a curated record